CAAUUGACAAAGUGGUCAACUGACUUCUCAACAUCUAAACGUGUACCCAGGACGGCUCUCGAGCCUUAAUCAGAGAAGCUUCUCCUCACAGUGAUCAGCAGUGAGUGCAGAAUCGUAACUGCCCUGGAUGCAGAAGCGAGCACCUCUGCCCCGAAAAACCUGUCAAGAAAGAACGGAGACAUCUUUGGUGGCAGAACAGGCUGAGACAAAGAACGGAGACGACAUCUUUGGUGGCAGAACAGGCUGAGACAGGCUCGCUGGUCUCAUCAGCAACUCUAAAGAUCCAAACGCUGAAAACCGCAGGGUUCCUACCAUCAAGAUGUGUCCCCAGACCCUGCUUGAUAGUGUUUCGAGGAAUGAGAAGCAAACCCAGAGACUCAACACCACUCAAACGCUUCCCUAUUGACCUCCCAUCCCCAAGCCCACUUAAUUUUUAAAUUUAAGUUCACCAACUGCUUUGCCAUUAAGAUGACUGUUAGGUGAUGGUCGGGUUUCCCUCCUACCUCCUGAAGGUGUGAGGGAGUUGAAAUACAACCAGCACACACAACUCAAGAACCACAUAGCCACGCAACAGUGAAAAGAUUGGGGCAGGGGGAUCAGGAGUUCAAGGCUAGCCUCAACUACAUAGCACAUUCUGGACCAGCCUGGGAUACUCUCUCUCUCUCUCCCUCUCUCUCU
Peromyscus maniculatus bairdii (prairie deer mouse) is the source of this 678-nucleotide non-coding RNA. The record is from RefSeq and is a predicted model, not a curated record. NCBI's taxonomy places the organism in Eukaryota, Metazoa, Chordata, Mammalia, Rodentia, Cricetidae.